UCCCCGAUAGCUCAGUUGGUAAAGAAUCCGCCUGCAAUGCAGGAGACCCUGGUUCGACUCCUGGUCGGGGAG
RNAcentral lists this transfer RNA (72 nucleotides) under Ovis aries (sheep). It matches the Rfam family "tRNA". Rfam says of the family: Transfer RNA (tRNA) molecules are approximately 80 nucleotides in length. Their secondary structure includes four short double-helical elements and three loops (D, anti-codon, and T loops). Lineage: Eukaryota; Metazoa; Chordata; Mammalia; Artiodactyla; Bovidae. The record is from Rfam by way of RNAcentral.